AAAACUAGCAGAAAUGGCACUCCGGCAAGUUGGGGCUGUCAUGCUAGCUGAAAGGGUGGUGGAAACUGCUGAAGUAUUGGUGGUAGCUGCCACUGUGUCUGUUGCUGUACAUGGGCCAUGGUAUAUGAAUCUAGCUGAUAACAUGUGAUGGAAUUGUAUGCACAAGGAAAGUGGGAGACAGAAUGAUAAUGCAGAAUUGUAAAAAGUAGUGUGCGUAAAAGCCCUGUAAUUGAAAAAUAAUAUUUGAUCAUAAUGCACAUUCUUCAGUGAUUGUAAUGUAGAAUUCAUUGAUGUAGUGAAACAGAGGAGACUGCAAUUUUGUGCAUGCUUUAGCAGCCAAAAACAAGA
This 348-nucleotide unclassified non-coding RNA is filed under the name Hevea brasiliensis (rubber tree). The record is from RNAcentral. Lineage: Eukaryota; Viridiplantae; Streptophyta; Magnoliopsida; Malpighiales; Euphorbiaceae.